GGGCCGUUAGCUCAGCUGGAAGAGCGCUGCCUUCGCAAGGCAGAGGUCGGCAGUUCGAAUCUGCUACGGUCCA
RNAcentral lists this transfer RNA (73 nucleotides) under bacterium. RNAcentral describes it as "tRNA-Ala". It matches the Rfam family "tRNA". Rfam says of the family: Transfer RNA (tRNA) molecules are approximately 80 nucleotides in length. Their secondary structure includes four short double-helical elements and three loops (D, anti-codon, and T loops). Further hydrogen bonds mediate the characteristic L-shaped molecular structure. tRNAs have two regions of fundamental functional importance: the anti-codon, which is responsible for specific mRNA codon recognition, and the 3' end, to which the tRNAs corresponding amino acid is attached (by aminoacyl-tRNA synthetases). tRNAs cope with the degeneracy of the genetic code in two manners: having more than one tRNA (with a specific anti-codon) for a particular amino acid; and 'wobble' base-pairing, i.e. permitting non-standard base-pairing at the 3rd anti-codon position. RNAcentral also lists the same sequence under 1 other name. The record is from RNAcentral.